UACGUAGGGGGCUAGCGUUGUCCGGAAUCAUUGGGCGUAAAGCGCGCGCAGGCGGCCUCGCGCGCCCGACGUGAAAGCCCCCGGCUUAACCGGGGAGGGUCGUUGGGGACGGCGGGGCUUGAGGGCGGGAGAGGUCGGUGGAAUUCCCGGUGUAGUGGUGAAAUGCGUAGAGAUCGGGAGGAACACCUGUGGCGAAGGCGGCCGACUGGGCCGACCCUGACGCUGAGGCGCGAAGGCGUGGGGAGCGAACGGG
RNAcentral lists this ribosomal RNA (253 nucleotides) under uncultured bacterium. RNAcentral describes it as "partial 16S ribosomal RNA". It matches the Rfam family "Bacterial small subunit ribosomal RNA", at positions 524 to 776 of the family's 1533-position model. The record is from RNAcentral.